AUGAAAUUAAUUCUUUGCUGGGUAUUAAAAAUUGCGAGUUUUAAACUGAUGCAAAAUAUUUACACGAGUUUGUGGCGAAAUAUAAAAAACAAGGUACUGUAUAUACAAAGAAGUUCUACCUUUUGUCCUUUAGUUUCCAUUCUAAAUUCUUCCUACUUUCAGAGAAUUUUUUCCCCCAAAGAAACCGUGCCGAUCUACCCCUCCCCUGCGCUGGUACUCUGGACUUUUCCCCAUCCUGGCACCUUUCCUGAGAACUCACUCGGAACGGUCUUCCUCGUUGCUUUUCUUCCUUCCCUCCGUCCUCCCACUUCCUGCCUGGGCCGACCGCGCGGGCCGCGGGCCGCACCUGCAGGACGCGUUUCCAUUGGUGACAUCUUGGCGGGCCCAUCGGUGGCACUUCCUCCUUUACACCCCGUGACCCACGUCCGGCCCGCCGCCCUCAGUCACGCGGCCUCUGCCUCCGGGACGCAGCCCCGCGCGUCGGCCUUCCGGACUCCGGACCCGUCGUGGACAGUUCGUUACCUACCAGGAGUGUCUCCGACUGUGGGCAUCCCCCCUCAGGUGGUUCUUUAAGCCACAAAAAACUGCACCCAAGCUUGUUUGAC
This 605-nucleotide long non-coding RNA is filed under the name Canis lupus dingo (dingo). RNAcentral's name for it is "lncRNA (ENSCAFG00020025262.1)". Lineage: Eukaryota; Metazoa; Chordata; Mammalia; Carnivora; Canidae. The record is from RNAcentral.